GUGAGAUUAGAGAUCGAGGGAGGAUCCGACCAUCCAAAUCGGCGGACCUCCGGACAACCUUCAAGUUCGGCACGAUGGCGAUGCAUGUCCGCCCAACCUUCAAAUCGGCAGACAACGACGCAAGGCCGACCAACCUUUAAGUCCGGCACGACGGAGACGCACGGCGGACCGUCCAUAACUUGCAAAUCCUUGUUCGGUAACCAUUAAUACCAAACCUACCCGCAAUCUGGUUGCCGGAGGAUCACGGUACUCUCCAUUGGUUCCGUUCCGUAGCGCCACCCGUUCAGAUCCACCAUUUACGUCGAAGAUACCACAUGUUUAUGCUUUUAUUGAAAGAUUUUGAAAUGGGUUCUAUUUUUCUUUGUUUAUUUAAUAAUUGAUAGGGCUUUUUUUCAAAUCAUAUAUUUUGCUAAUCAAAUAAAUAAUCAUCAGGUUGCAUUUUUAGUUUGUUGAAAAAAUUGUAUUAAUGGUGAGUUUGAUCUCCUGUACAAUGUUUUGAUAAAUUCAUGAAAAAGCUUCAUCUUUCUUUGUUGAUGAUGUGUUUGGAGUUUUUCAAACGGGUUUGAUCUGAAACUUAUAGACUUUGAAACCGCAGUUGCGGUUGGAAAAGGAAACAAUAUGAUCUUGAACGGAUCUGAUUAAGUACGUCGGAGAAAAAAAGGAUAAAGAUUUGUGGGUGUGAAGGAUGCGUGUUUGUAGGUGUGACGGUGGACGGCUGUUGGUGGUUAUGAUAGAGGAACGCACCCGGCGAUUUUUUACGUAAAGGGUGUAUUGGAAAGGUGCCAACAAAUCGACUGGACCAAUACAAAAGUGCCACGUGGACGGAACUCUAAAAUCAAAUAGGUUCCUCGAGUGAAACGUUACGAUGGUGUGUUUAAAGGGAACCGAAGUUGCUUUUUGUA
This 902-nucleotide long non-coding RNA is filed under the name Helianthus annuus (common sunflower). RNAcentral describes it as "hypothetical non coding rna". The record is from RNAcentral. Lineage: Eukaryota; Viridiplantae; Streptophyta; Magnoliopsida; Asterales; Asteraceae.